CCUACGGGUGGCAGCAGUGGGGAAUAUUGCGCAAUGGGCGAAUGCCUGACGCAGCGACGCCGCGUGAGGGAUGAAGGUCUUCGGAUCGUAAACCUCUGUCAGCAGGGAAGAACGGUCACUGUGCUAAUCAGCAGUUAAUUGACGGUACCUGCAACGGAAGCACCGGCUAACUCCGUGCCAGCAGCCGCGGUAAUACGGAGGAUCCGAGCGUUAUGCGGAUUUAGUGGGUUUAAAGGGAGCGUAGAGGGGUUUUUAAGUCAGUUGUGAAAGUUUGCGGCUCAACCGUUAAAUUUCAAUUUAUACUGGGAGGUUUGAGUACAGUUGAGGUAGGCGGAAUUCGUGGUGUAGCGGUGAAAUGCUUUGAUAUCACGAAGAACCCCGAUUGCGAAGGCAGCAUACCGGCGCCCAACUGACGCUGAAGCACGAAAGCGUGGGUAUCGAACAGGAUUAGAUACCCCAGUAGUC
Molecule: ribosomal RNA, 465 nt
Filed under: uncultured bacterium
Lineage: Bacteria
Description: partial 16S ribosomal RNA
Rfam family: Bacterial small subunit ribosomal RNA
Source: RNAcentral